RNAcentral lists this ribosomal RNA (324 nucleotides) under uncultured bacterium. Its description in RNAcentral is "bacterial SSU rRNA". It matches the Rfam family "Bacterial small subunit ribosomal RNA", at positions 9 to 311 of the family's 1533-position model. The record is from RNAcentral.
GAGUUUGAUCGUGGCUCAGGAUGAACGCUGGCGGCGUGCUUAACACAUGCAAGUCGAACGAAGAUGAUUAGAAUGAGAGCUUCGGCAGGAUUUCUUUUCAUCUUAGUGGCGGACGGGUGAGUAACGUGUGGGCAACCUGCCCUAUACUGGGGAAUAAUCACUGGAAACGGUGACUAAUACCGCAUGUCAUUGCGAGAGGGCAUCCUCUUGCAAGAAAGGAGUAAUUCGGUAUAGGAUGGGCCCCGCAUCUGAUUAGCUAGUUGGUGAGAUAACAGCCCCACCAAGGCGACGAUCAGUAGCCGACCUGAGAGGGUGAUCGGCCAC